GCUUACACUCCUACGGGGAGGCAGCAGUAGGGAAUCUUCCACAAUGGGCGCAAGCCUGAUGGAGCAACACCGCGUGAGUGAAGAAGGGUUUCGGACUCGUAAAGCUCUGUUGUUUAAAGAAGAACACGUAUGAGAGUAACUGUUCAUACGUUGACGGUAUUUAACCAGAAAGUCACGGCUAACUACGUGCCAGCAGCCGCGGUAAUACGUAGGUGGCAAGCGUUAUCCGGAUUUAUUGGGCGUAAAGAGAGUGCAGGCGGUUUUCUAAGUCUGAUGUGAAAGCCUUCGGCUUAACCGGAGAAGUGCAUCGGAAACUGGAUAACUUGAGUGCAGAAGAGGGUAGUGGAACUCCAUGUGUAGCGGUGGAAUGCGUAGAUAUAUGGAAGAACACCAGUGGCGAAGGCGGCUACCUGGUCUGCAACUGACGCUGAGACUCGAAAGCAUGGGUAGCGAACAGGAUUAGAUACCCUGGUAG
Molecule: ribosomal RNA, 475 nt
Filed under: uncultured bacterium
Lineage: Bacteria
Description: bacterial SSU rRNA
Rfam family: Bacterial small subunit ribosomal RNA
Source: RNAcentral